Molecule: ribosomal RNA, 47 nt
Filed under: Cordyceps javanica
Lineage: Eukaryota; Fungi; Ascomycota; Sordariomycetes; Hypocreales; Cordycipitaceae
Also listed under: 4 other names
Description: partial 28S ribosomal RNA
Source: RNAcentral
GACCUCGGAUCAGGUAGGACUACCCGCUGAACUUAAGCAUAUCAAUA